Molecule: transfer RNA, 69 nt
Filed under: Diplosoma listerianum
Lineage: Eukaryota; Metazoa; Chordata; Ascidiacea; Aplousobranchia; Didemnidae
Description: transfer RNA-Gln
Source: RNAcentral
UUUAUUUUAGUUUAAAAAAAAAAAACGAUUAUUUUUGUAAUAAUUAAUAUAAAAGAUUUAUAAAUAUAU